RNAcentral lists this ribosomal RNA (391 nucleotides) under uncultured bacterium. RNAcentral describes it as "bacterial SSU rRNA". It matches the Rfam family "Bacterial small subunit ribosomal RNA", at positions 28 to 420 of the family's 1533-position model. The record is from RNAcentral.
GACGAACGCUGGCGGCGUGCUUAACACAUGCAAGUCGAGCGGUAAGGCCCUUUCGGGGGUACACGAGCGGCGAACGGGUGAGUAACACGUGGGUGACCUGCCCUUAGCUCUGGGAUAAGCCUGGGAAACUGGGUCUAAUACCGGAUAUGACUCCAUGACGCAUGUUGUGGGGUGGAAAGCCUUGUGCGGCUAGGGGAUGGGCCCGCGGCCUAUCAGCUUGUUGGUGGGGUGAUGGCCACCAAGGCGACGACGGGUAGCCGGCCUGAGAGGGCGACCGGCCACACUGGGGACUGAGACACGGCCCAGACUCCUACGGGAGGCAGCAGUGGGGAAUCUUGCGCAAUGGGCGAAAGCCUGACGCAGCGACGCCGCGUGGGGAUGACGGCCUCGG